RNAcentral lists this microRNA precursor (91 nucleotides) under Medicago truncatula (barrel medic). RNAcentral describes it as "MIR2617 microRNA precursor family". It matches the Rfam family "MIR2617 microRNA precursor family". The record is from Rfam by way of RNAcentral. Lineage: Eukaryota; Viridiplantae; Streptophyta; Magnoliopsida; Fabales; Fabaceae.
AUGUAGUGUGACAUGCCCGUUUGGGUUUUACUCUGAUGUUGAGUUAUUAUUAUUAUUUAAUUAGUUUUGGGAAACAGGGUGUUACAAUGUU